RNAcentral lists this ribosomal RNA (448 nucleotides) under uncultured bacterium. RNAcentral's name for it is "bacterial SSU rRNA". It matches the Rfam family "Bacterial small subunit ribosomal RNA", at positions 329 to 794 of the family's 1533-position model. The record is from RNAcentral.
CGCCAGACUCCUACGGGAGGCAGCAGUGGGGAAUAUUGCACAAUGGGGGAAACCCUGAUGCAGCAACGCCGCGUGAGUGAAGAAGUAUUUCGGUAUGUAAAGCUCUAUCAGCAGGGAAGAAAAUGACGGUACCUGAGUAAGAAGCCCCGGCUAACUACGUGCCAGCAGCCGCGGUAAUACGUAGGGGGCAAGCGUUAUCCGGAUUUACUGGGUGUAAAGGGGGCGCAGACGGCGAUGCAAGCCAGGAGUGAAAGCCCGGGGCCCAACCCCGGGACUGCUCUUGGAACUGCGUGGCUGGAGUGCAGGAGGGGCAGGCGGAAUUCCUGGUGUAGCGGUGAAAUGCGUAGAUAUCAGGAGGAACACCGGUGGCGAAGGCGGCCUGCUGGACUGCAACUGACGUUGAGGCCCGAAAGCGUGGGGAGCAAACAGGAUUAGAUACCCCGGUAGA